Elasticomyces elasticus is the source of this 92-nucleotide non-coding RNA. NCBI's taxonomy places the organism in Eukaryota, Fungi, Ascomycota, Dothideomycetes, Mycosphaerellales, Teratosphaeriaceae. The record is from the annotation of a GenBank genome assembly.
UCCCUCGUGGCGCAAUUGGCUAGCGCGUUAGACUGUUAUAGGCACUGCCUAAGCACAUCUGGAGGCUGGUGGUUCGAGCCCACCCGAGGGAG